UGCAUCAUUGCAUGUCUAGGAAAGAAGUCAUCAAAGACAUACAGAAGCAUGUGUAUAGCUGCAGAUGCACAUGACUAUUAUCUAUCAGUGGGAGUUGCUACAGUGUUUUCCCUGAACUUCAAGACUACUCAAAAAUACUGUUGAUUAGAAGAGCUUUAACAGAGGAGGCUGGAAGUCUUGGCCUGAGUGACUACUGAAAAGAUACCUGAAAGGUAGGAGACCUUCAUCCAAAUCUCUGCAAUGAAUUCAGGCAUCAAUGAUUUCAGCUCAAUUCUUCCACAUCCCACUUGAUUUUUUUCUAAUCAGUUAGUUGGUCACCAUCAUGAGAGUCUGGUUGGAUGAUCUAAUUGCUUGAUUUUAGGAGAUCUCAUUUGGAAGUAUAGUCCAUUGUC
This 392-nucleotide long non-coding RNA is filed under the name Anas platyrhynchos platyrhynchos (common mallard). RNAcentral describes it as "lncRNA (ENSAPLG00000018709.1)". Lineage: Eukaryota; Metazoa; Chordata; Aves; Anseriformes; Anatidae. The record is from RNAcentral.